Molecule: long non-coding RNA, 350 nt
Filed under: Cyanistes caeruleus (blue tit)
Lineage: Eukaryota; Metazoa; Chordata; Aves; Passeriformes; Paridae
Description: lncRNA (ENSCCEG00000022802.1)
Source: RNAcentral
AGACUCCCUUUUUUUGUAGCACUGGAGAACUUCAUUGAACAGUGAAGAACAAAAUCUUGGAUUCUAUUUAGUCUCGGGCGAGACUGUGGAAACAGAGACAGGGUAGUCUGACCUUGGAAAAGGGCUAUAAUCCAGUGUCUUUAUAGAGAUGAGGAAGCAGCUUUGACAAGCAGAAGUUAAACCCUAGAUGGUCCAGGACUAUCUAGCCAUUGCUUAAUCUUCUUAAUAUGGUAAUCAGGGUAGCCGGUUUUGGAAAGUUAUUUACUGUUGUUGUUGCCUUUGACAAGCAGCAGGGAGAAGAAUCCUUCUCCUUAGAAGAUCCCUUUUUUGAAAGGAGAGUCAAACAGUGA